ACGCACCAAAAAGCAAGCAAAGAUUGUGCCACAGCCUGAGCCGGAGCCGGUGCUAGAACCGGAGAAGCAAGAAGAGAAGAAGGAAGCGGAGGAGAAGCCACCAGAAGAAGAAACCAAACCAAAAGAAGAGGAAAAGCCACCAGAAGAAGCUAGAAAAGAAGAAAACGAGAGUAAUAAUAAUAAUAAAGGAGAAGAAAUAAAGGAAGAGCCUAAAAUGGAAGGAGGAGAGAACAACAACAGUAACAAUAUCAGCAACACUACCGAUGAGGAAAAUAUGAAGAGAAUGAUGUACUAUUAUCAGCCACUUUACGUGAUUGAGCGAAUCCCACCUCCGCAGCUCUUUAGUGAUGAGAAUCCCAAUGCUUGUUGCAUUUCAUAAUAAUCUUGCAUACA
This 393-nucleotide long non-coding RNA is filed under the name Citrus sinensis (sweet orange). Its description in RNAcentral is "long non-coding RNA (CSIN_LNC002089)". The record is from RNAcentral. Lineage: Eukaryota; Viridiplantae; Streptophyta; Magnoliopsida; Sapindales; Rutaceae.